This is a long non-coding RNA of Cynara cardunculus var. scolymus (artichoke), 1033 nucleotides long. RefSeq lists it as uncharacterized. The record is from RefSeq and is a predicted model, not a curated record. Lineage: Eukaryota; Viridiplantae; Streptophyta; Magnoliopsida; Asterales; Asteraceae. The transcript is spliced from 2 exons.
CAUAGUCAUCUUCAUCGUUCCUCUCACAACAUAGCUAGAAUCAGCCGAUUUGCACUCAAUUGAUCAAAGGUAUAUCAUCAAGCAGACUAGGGUUUACAGGGUAUAAAUCGCUGGUUUUCAGGUAAGUAAAUCGUUCAAUCUCACAGGUUAAGGCACACCACUUGACCGAAUUCGUAUAUCACUUGAGCGGAUUUUGUCCGAAUUUGUACAUCUCUUAAGCAGAAUUGACCGGAUUCGCAUAACAUUUGAGCGAUUUAGGAGUUAAAUCGGGCAUCACAGGAAAUCGAUCACAGCUCAAGCGCAAUCAAGGGUUCAACAAAAUUGCUGACUGGUUUGAGGUUAAUCGCAUAUCAUUCAAUCAUGAAGUGGAUGAAUACUGGUUUUGAUCAUCUCUGUUCACAAGGUUAUUAAGAUACAUARUUUCCCUYGAACUCAGUCAAAAAGGACAGGCUAUUCUAAAUCAUUCACUGACCUAGCUGUUGAAGAUUUCAUCAUAUCUGAAUUGGUUGUAUUUUGCACACAUUUUCUUUUGAUUUUACAUAAAGUGCAGCUUGCUGUUCAAUCGAGUUAGGAAGCUGGAGUUGAUUGAGUUAGAGCAGUAACUGGUAUUAGAAUCGAUUUGUUGUCUGUAUUGUGACUGGUUUGACUUAAAUCGUUUGAUAAGGAUGUGAGGUUUUGCUCAAAUCACUUGAUACAGUAACUGUUUAAGAGUGCUGUAUCACAAACUCCUCAAGAGCGUGUGCGUCUCAGCUGCUUACGAGUGCUGCAUCAACUGGCAGCUAGCACAACAUGCACAAAAGCCAUGGCAGCAACUAGUAUUGGGACAACAAUUAGUUAUACACAACUAGUUGCAUAUAGAAGACAGUCAAGUUAAUAUUGGUUUUGGAGGUAUUACUUGGACUAUUGGGGUUGCCUUGUUGGAAGCUGUGAAAAUAACUUCCAACUUGAGAAGGGUCGGCAGUUUUGUGAAAAAUCAUGGGAUGUGGCCAAGAACAGUGUUCCACCCCAGCCAUUUAUAGAGCAGUAUUGCUUC